GCCAGGUGUGGUGGCGCACGCCUGUAGUCCCAGCUACUCGGGAGGCUGAGGCAGAAGAAUCGCUUGAACUCAGGAGGCGGAGAUUGCAGUGAGCCGAGAUCGUGCCACUGCACUCCAGCCUGGGUGACAGAGUGAGACUCCGUCUCAA
This 148-nucleotide non-coding RNA is filed under the name Homo sapiens (human). Lineage: Eukaryota; Metazoa; Chordata; Mammalia; Primates; Hominidae. The record is from Rfam by way of RNAcentral.